ACAUUAGGCUACGCAGCUCGCCUGUUCCUAGGUGGUUUCAGUCCUCUACUGUUCAAAGUCUGUCAAGAACCUCUUGUUCAUAAGUUCUCUCCCUUUAUAUAGAAGAGAAGUUCUCUUCUUUUAUGUGGAAGUGGUGUUGCUGAGUGAAAGGGCAUGAACAAUUGAGAUCUGAACCCACACAUCAAACUGUAGAGCCUCAUUUUGAGGUAGAAUUUCUUCUUUUCAUGAUGUUACCUGGUAAGGGGCAUGUCCCCAGCUUUUGGGAGGCGCAGACUGCAUGGGAACUGCUGAAAGGUCUAUGGGGACCCAUUGGGCGUACUAGGCCAGUGACGGCACGUAUGGGCCCCAAGGCCUUAAGGUGAGUGACAGCAAGUGGAAGGAGGGUGCAGAAUGUGGCACUGGGCUGGAAUGACUUAGUGGAGUGGGGUGAACAAUCUGCUCAUUCAGAACUGGCUUUGGGAUUGUGACAGGUCCUGAACAGCUUGGAGUACUAAGAAGAGCGCUGGACAUGAACUGGAAUAUGUGGGUUCAAAUCCCACCUUUUCACUGCCCAGCUCUGUGACCCUGAGCAAGUGACUCAACCUCUGUGAGCCCCGUGUCCUCUCUGUAAAAUGGAGGUAUGAAUGCCUGUGAGAACAGGAUAUGGGGAGGGUUCCUGUAUAACACUUCGCCCUGCCCAUCUGAAUAAAAGGCUGCAUUCACCCUUCCUAAGGAAGACCACUUUCCGAUGUUCCAGUCUGAAGACAAGGAAUGCAAAGCUCACGGAUGCCGAGGAAUUUAUCCAAGAUCACUGUGAUGGGAUGGGAACUUUGGUUUUCAGCCUUUAAAUACAUUGGUGCAGAAGUCCAAGAAAGAUGCUUGGAAAGACCUAGUGAGAUGAAGAUCUCACUAUGUUGCCUGGGCUGGUCUUGAAUUCCUGAGCUCAAGUGAUCCUCCAACCUUGGCCUCCCAAAGUGAUGGAAUUACAGGCACACCUCUGAUGAUUGCUGCAUGUAUUCUGCCCAGGGUUUUUGGCUGUGAUCACUGGGAGAGAUAGAAGGGACUGUAUUUGCUCCAUCUUACCCAGCUCUGCAAACCUGCUGGAGAGUUUAAUUGGCAUAUGACUUCUAUCCUCAAAGUCACAAGAUGGCUGCUGGAGUUCCAGUCAGGAUGUCUGUACAGAACAUCUGUCCAGUCCCUGGGAUGGUGAGGCUAUAACCACAAAGGAAUAAGAGAAGACGACUAGUUUUGUAAUGGGUGGGACAAGGCUGUUGGCUUCCCUGGGUUACUUUUCAGCAUGCUGGGAGCUGGAAGGAUAGAAUUUCACGAGCCAUUGCAGCCAGCUGCCGAGCACCUGGGGCAACGUUUGCAGCAACCCAGGGACCACCCUCUAACACCAAGUGCCCCCCACGUUGCUGAGGAAGGUCCAGUUGUCUGAGGUUUACUUUGGACACAUUUUUAAUCAUCGUGGUUGGCACAGACAGGAAGGCUGAGCCAGAACGAAAUAUCUGGGAGCCACAGAUAUUCCAGCUGGGGUGAAACUUUCUGGAGUGACCUCCGCCAAAGACUACUGGUGGCAGCUGCAAUGACCCACACUCUGCUCCUAAAGCAGUACCUUAGGAGAGAGAAGAUUAAGAGAUUCCAUGCCCUGUGUCUCUUUCUGGGUCACUCAAAGGGAUGUGAGGUGUUCUUUCAAGUUACAGCAACUGAAUGCAUAAAAAUUGCUCAAGGGGAAGCAUCUUCUUAAUGCGUUUUUGUCCACUCUCCCUUUAGCCCUCAGCAGACAGAAAAAUCCCUUUUAAAUGUAUUUCUAAACUUAUGUUGUAAGGAGGCAAAUGAGAAGCAAAGCUGAAAUUCCAGAGGGAACAGAACACAAAAGCGCUUGUGCACGUGUACCCUCACCUUGCACACCUACACCCCAGAGGCCAGCCUGGCCCAAUGGGCUCUGUUUAUUCAGUGUUGUCUUUUCCUGAUAAUUCUGCUGAUGACAGGGAAGCAACCCUUCUUCUUCUUCAGUCUGCAAUAUUUCACCCUCCAAUUACUCUUUCAAAUUUUGUUUUCAAGUCUCUGCCCAAAUGCUGGACUUAGGGAGCCCAAGGCUCUCAUUUUUGUAUUUCUCUUAUGACACUUGACAUUGGCUGCCUUGUCCCACUGCCUACGCGAGCUCUUUUGAAGACAAGGACUCUUAUUGGAGCUGAGUCCUGACUCCCCACUCAGUGUCAGGCAUGUGGAGGCAAAGUGCUUCCUCUGUGGCUCUGGGUAAGAGCUCUGACCAUGCUGGGCUCCAGCAGGUUGGCCCUGCAGCUGGUUUGUGUGUAAGCUGAUGGCUGAUUGGGCACCGUCAAUGUGCAAGCCACAUUUCUAAUCAACUUCUAUAGAAAACACUGGAGACAGAAGGGCAUAAUAGCUAUAAUAUAUCUUGGUCUUUUGACGAGAAGGAAUCGCCAAUACGUGGGGUGAGAAUUUUUCCUUCAUGACGAAUGACGGCAACCUCUUCUGAGUGCCGUCUCUGUGCCAAGUAUGGUGUUCAGUGCUUUCAAGAAUGUUCUCUGGCUGGGUGUGGUGGCUCAUGCCUGUAA
Long non-coding RNA from Homo sapiens (human), 2558 nucleotides. RefSeq lists it as uncharacterized. NCBI's taxonomy places the organism in Eukaryota, Metazoa, Chordata, Mammalia, Primates, Hominidae. The record is from RefSeq and is a predicted model, not a curated record. The transcript has 7 exons.